This 253-nucleotide ribosomal RNA is filed under the name uncultured bacterium. Its description in RNAcentral is "partial 16S ribosomal RNA". It matches the Rfam family "Bacterial small subunit ribosomal RNA", at positions 524 to 776 of the family's 1533-position model. The record is from RNAcentral.
UACGUAGGGUGCAAGCGUUAAUCGGAAUUACUGGGCGUAAAGCGUGCGCAGGCGGCUUUGCAAGACAGAUGUGAAAUCCCCGGGCUUAACCUGGGAACUGCAUUUGUGACUGCAUGGCUGGAGUGCGGCAGAGGGGGAUGGAAUUCCGCGUGUAGCAGUGAAAUGCGUAGAGAUGUGGAGGAACACCGAUGGCGAAGGCAGCCCCCUGGGCUAACACUGACGCUCAGGCACGAAAGCGUGGGGAGCAAACAGG